UACAGAGGGGGCAAGCGUUGUUCGGAAUUACUGGGCGUAAAGCGUGCGCAGGCGGUUUUGUAAGCCAGAUGUGAAAUCCCCGGGCUUAACCUGGGAAUGGCAUUUGGGACUGCAAGGCUGGAGUACGGCAGAGGAGACUGGAAUUCCUGGUGUAGCAGUGAAAUGCGUAGAGAUCAGGAGGAAUACCGAUGGCGAAGGCAGGUCUCUGGGCUGAUACUGACGCUCAUGCACGAAAGCGUGGGGAGCAAACAGG
Molecule: ribosomal RNA, 253 nt
Filed under: uncultured bacterium
Lineage: Bacteria
Description: partial 16S ribosomal RNA
Rfam family: Bacterial small subunit ribosomal RNA
Source: RNAcentral